This is a non-coding RNA of Suricata suricatta (meerkat), 73 nucleotides long. The record is from the annotation of a RefSeq genome assembly. NCBI's taxonomy places the organism in Eukaryota, Metazoa, Chordata, Mammalia, Carnivora, Herpestidae.
GCCUGGCUGGCUCAGUUGGAAGAGUGUGAGACUCUUGAUCUCCUGGUCGUGGGUUCGAGCCCCACAACAGGUG